AGUGAACGCUGGCGGUAGGCCUAACACAUGCAAGUCGAACGGCAGCACAGUAAGAGCUUGCUCUUACGGGUGGCGAGUGGCGGACGGGUGAGGAAUACAUCGGAAUCUACUUUUUCGUGGGGGAUAACGUAGGGAAACUUACGCUAAUACCGCAUACGACCUACGGGUGAAAGCAGGGGAUCUUCGGACCUUGCGCGAUUGAAUGAGCCGAUGUCGGAUUAGCUAGUUGGCGGGGUAAAGGCCCACCAAGGCGACGAUCCGUAGCUGGUCUGAGAGGAUGAUCAGCCACACUGGAACUGAGACACGGUCCAGACUCCUACGGGAGGCAGCAGUGGGGAAUAUUGGACAAUGGGCGCAAGCCUGAUCCAGCCAUACCGCGUGAGUGAAGAAGGCCUUCGGGUUGUAAAGCCCUGUUGUUGGGAAAGAAAAGAAGCAGGUUAAUACCCCGCUGUUCUGACGGUACCCAAAGAAUAAGCACCGGCUAACUUCGUG
RNAcentral lists this ribosomal RNA (492 nucleotides) under uncultured bacterium. Its description in RNAcentral is "partial 16S ribosomal RNA". It matches the Rfam family "Bacterial small subunit ribosomal RNA", at positions 29 to 507 of the family's 1533-position model. The record is from RNAcentral.